Molecule: transfer RNA, 56 nt
Filed under: Variovorax sp.
Lineage: Bacteria; Pseudomonadati; Pseudomonadota; Betaproteobacteria; Burkholderiales; Comamonadaceae
Description: tRNA-Asp
Rfam family: tRNA
About the family: Transfer RNA (tRNA) molecules are approximately 80 nucleotides in length. Their secondary structure includes four short double-helical elements and three loops (D, anti-codon, and T loops). Further hydrogen bonds mediate the characteristic L-shaped molecular structure. tRNAs have two regions of fundamental functional importance: the anti-codon, which is responsible for specific mRNA codon recognition, and the 3' end, to which the tRNAs corresponding amino acid is attached (by aminoacyl-tRNA synthetases). tRNAs cope with the degeneracy of the genetic code in two manners: having more than one tRNA (with a specific anti-codon) for a particular amino acid; and 'wobble' base-pairing, i.e. permitting non-standard base-pairing at the 3rd anti-codon position.
Source: RNAcentral
UAGUUCAGUUGGUUAGAAUACCGGCCUGUCACGCCGGGGGUCGCGGGUUCGAGUCC